RNAcentral lists this ribosomal RNA (262 nucleotides) under uncultured bacterium. RNAcentral's name for it is "partial 16S ribosomal RNA". It matches the Rfam family "Bacterial small subunit ribosomal RNA", at positions 524 to 783 of the family's 1533-position model. The record is from RNAcentral.
UACGAAGGGGGCUAGCGUUGUUCGGAUUUACUGGGCGUAAAGCGCACGUAGGCGGAUCGUUAAGUCGGGGGUGAAAUCCUGGAGCUCAACUCCAGAACUGCCUUCGAUACUGGCGAUCUAGAGUCCGGAAGAGGUGAGUGGAACUCCUAGUGUAGAGGUGGGAAUUCGUUAGAUAUUAGGAAGAACACCAGUGGCGAAGGCGGCUCACUGGUCCGGUACUGACGCUGAGGUGCGAAAGCGUGGGGAGCAAAACAGGAUUGAG